Molecule: ribosomal RNA, 324 nt
Filed under: uncultured fungus
Lineage: Eukaryota; Fungi
Description: eukaryotic LSU rRNA
Rfam family: 5.8S ribosomal RNA (bases 1-52)
Source: RNAcentral
AACGCACCUUGCGCUCCUUGGUAUUCCGAGGAGCAUGCCUGUUUGAGUGUCAUUAAAUUCUCAACCUUACCAACUUUGUUGUCUGGUAAAGGCUUGGAUGUGGGGGUUUUGCUGGCUUCGUCAAGAGGUCGGCUCUCCUUAAAUGAAUCAGCCUCCCAGUGUUUGGUGGCAUCACGGGUGUGAUAGAUAUCUACGCUCGCGGUUGUCUGCCAGGUAACCUUUGGUGACAAAGGUUCGCUGGAGCUCACAGAUGUCUCUCCUCGGCGAGGACAGCUUUUUUGAACGUUCGAUCUCAAAUCAGGUAGGACUACCCGCUGAACUUAA